AACGAACGCUGGCGGCAGGCCUAAAACAUGCAAGUCGAACGGGUGUAGCAAUACAUCAGUGGCGCACGGGUGAGUAACGCGUGGGAACGUGCCCCUUAGUACGGGACAACGUCGGGAAACUGACGCUAAUACCGUAUAAUAUCUCCGGAUCAAAGAUUUAUCGCUGAGGGAGCGGCCCGCGUCUGAUUAGCUAGUUGGUGAGGUAAUGGCUUACCAAGGCUACGAUCAGUAGCAGGUCUGAGAGGAUGAUCUGCCACACUGGGACUGAGACACGGCCCAGACUCCUACGGGAGGCAGCAGUUAGGAAUAUUGGACAAUGGGCGAAAGCCUGAUCCAGCCAUGCCGCGUGUGUGAUGAAGGCCCUAGGGUUGUAAAGCACUUUCGUUGGGGAUGAUAAUGACCGUACCCAAAGAAGAAGCACCGGCUAACUUCGUG
RNAcentral lists this ribosomal RNA (435 nucleotides) under uncultured organism. RNAcentral describes it as "bacterial SSU rRNA". It matches the Rfam family "Bacterial small subunit ribosomal RNA", at positions 29 to 507 of the family's 1533-position model. The record is from RNAcentral.